RNAcentral lists this ribosomal RNA (105 nucleotides) under Pteropus alecto (black flying fox). Lineage: Eukaryota; Metazoa; Chordata; Mammalia; Chiroptera; Pteropodidae. The record is from RNAcentral.
GUCUACGGCCAUGCCCAAUCUCGUGUGAUCUCAGAAGUUAAGCAGGAUUGGGCCUGGUUAGUACUUGGAUGGGAGACCACCUAAGAAGACCAGGUGGUGUAGGCG